Molecule: non-coding RNA, 45 nt
Filed under: Schistosoma mansoni
Lineage: Eukaryota; Metazoa; Platyhelminthes; Trematoda; Strigeidida; Schistosomatidae
Source: RNAcentral
ACCCAGCUGACGAGUCCCAAAUGGGACGAAAGGCACCUCCUGGAU